GCAGUGGUUGAGUGGCAGAACAUCUAUUUUGCACGCAGAAGGUACCAGGUUUAAUCCCUGGCAUCUCCA
Podarcis lilfordi (Lilford's wall lizard) is the source of this 69-nucleotide non-coding RNA. The record is from the annotation of a GenBank genome assembly. Lineage: Eukaryota; Metazoa; Chordata; Lepidosauria; Squamata; Lacertidae.